This 253-nucleotide ribosomal RNA is filed under the name uncultured bacterium. Its description in RNAcentral is "partial 16S ribosomal RNA". It matches the Rfam family "Bacterial small subunit ribosomal RNA", at positions 524 to 776 of the family's 1533-position model. The record is from RNAcentral.
UACAGAGGGUGCAAGCGUUGUUCGGAAUUACUGGGCGUAAAGCGUGCGUAGUCGGUAUUGAGAGUCGCGGGUGAAAUCCCAGGGCUUAACCCUGGAACUGCCUGCGAGACCUCAGUACUAGAGUGUGAGAGGGGAUAGUGGAAUACCCAGUGUAGCGGUGAAAUGCGUAGAGAUUGGGUGGAACACCGGUGGCGGAGGCGGCUAUCUGGCUCACAACUGACGAUCAGGCACGAAAGCGUGGGGAGCAAACAGG